Molecule: ribosomal RNA, 380 nt
Filed under: uncultured eukaryote
Lineage: Eukaryota
Description: partial 18S ribosomal RNA
Rfam family: Eukaryotic small subunit ribosomal RNA
Source: RNAcentral
CAAUAGCGUAUAUUAAAGUUGUUGCGGUUAAAAAGCUCGUAGUUGGAUUUCUGCUGAGAACGACCGGUCCGCCCUUUGGGUGUGUAUCUGGCUCUUUCUUGGCAUCUUCUUGGUGAACGUUGCUGCACUUGACUGUGUGGAGCGCUACCCAGGACUUUUACUUUGAGGAAAUUAGAGUGUUUCAAGCAGGCAUACGCCUUGAAUACAUUAGCAUGGAAUAAUAAGAUAGGACCUCGGUUCUAUUUUGUUGGUUUCUAGAGCUGAGGUAAUGAUUAAUAGGGAUAGUUGGGGGCAUUCGUAUUUAACUGUCAGAGGUGAAAUGCUUGGAUUUGUUAAAGACGGACUACUGCGAAAGCAUUUGCCAAGGAUGUUUUCAUUGA